RNAcentral lists this transfer RNA (49 nucleotides) under Deltaproteobacteria bacterium RBG_16_42_7. RNAcentral describes it as "tRNA-Ser". It matches the Rfam family "tRNA", at positions 24 to 71 of the family's 71-position model. From Rfam's summary of the family: Transfer RNA (tRNA) molecules are approximately 80 nucleotides in length. Lineage: Bacteria; Deltaproteobacteria. The record is from RNAcentral.
CACCUGCCUUGGGAGCAGGGGGUCGGAGGUUCGAAUCCUCUCGCCCCGA